UUGUAAUUUACCUAUGUAUUGUACGUAGCCUGUUUGAACACAUUGUAAUGGGGUGCCCCAAAGAUAAUCUGUUUUGUAUAUGGAAGUCAUUUUGAACAGCUGUUGUAGUUUUGCACAUGUACAGUGAUCAGUGGCUUAUGAUAACUCCGGAACUACCAGUGGCUGCGCACUACGAACUGACAGAAUGGCUCAGUGGCCUUCCGUCAACACGUCACAACGCACAAUGCUGUUUGACUCAGUUAACGGUCAUUCCAUCUCAUCAGGAUUGUCAAGGCUCAACUUUACAAACUGUAUGAUGAACGAAGUGACUAAUAACCAAAAGAGAGAAAAGAAUGUAAAAUAGUGGUAAAAAUAAACUGGAAUCCUCAUAAACUACUAGAUGGGGUGGAUUCAUAUCUCUACUAGUACAAUUAAUCACAUUGAAGUGUGCUGAAUCAGCAACAGUCACCAAAUUCAUACUUUUACAAGACCAGUGGUGUUGGUUCUACACGGAUUAGGCAGUUACUGGCGAGAAGUAACGCCGUCUUCAGAUGUGGAUGAAAGGACAUCAGAUCUACAAAUAACAUCAGCAGCAAAAUCAACAUCAUCUCAGCACGAAUAACUCUCAGAUUCGUUUUCUGUUACUACAUUCGCCAACGUUACACACAAUGUAACAACAGAGAUGAUCCUACAGUCAUUUCACUAA
This is a long non-coding RNA of Homalodisca vitripennis (glassy-winged sharpshooter), 685 nucleotides long. RefSeq lists it as uncharacterized. The transcript has 4 exons. The record is from RefSeq and is a predicted model, not a curated record. Lineage: Eukaryota; Metazoa; Arthropoda; Insecta; Hemiptera; Cicadellidae.